This 243-nucleotide long non-coding RNA is filed under the name Sorghum bicolor (sorghum). RNAcentral's name for it is "long non-coding RNA (SBIC_LNC000272)". The record is from RNAcentral. Lineage: Eukaryota; Viridiplantae; Streptophyta; Magnoliopsida; Poales; Poaceae.
UCCCCUAAAAAUAAUACUAAUAAUUACAGUACAGUACUCAUAAGUCACACUUUUAUUUACUCCCUAUAAGUUUGUAGCACGUACUCUCUCCGUCUUAAAAAGUCCAUUAUUAUUGACUUUUAGACACUUUAUUUCACCAUCCAUCUUAUUUAGAUUUUUUAUAUAAAUAUUAUCUAUUUUGAUAUGACUUAUUUGAUCAUUAGAGAUACUUUAGUAAUCAUUUAUCUAUUUUAGAAUUUGCUU